RNAcentral lists this long non-coding RNA (304 nucleotides) under Rattus norvegicus (Norway rat). RNAcentral describes it as "long non-coding RNA NONRATT011341". Lineage: Eukaryota; Metazoa; Chordata; Mammalia; Rodentia; Muridae. The record is from RNAcentral.
AGGAAUCGAUGAUGGACUCGGGCAAAACCCUAGCAGAAAUCAGCGACCGGUAUGGGGCGCCUAACUUGAGCCGAGUGGAAGAACUGGAUGAACCAAUGUUAUCCGAUAUUGCCUUAAACAUUGAUCAAGAUCUGUAGGACCAACCAACUGAAAAGAAAUAUUUUCUACCUGCUUCAAACUUCAAAUCACAAGGACCCUAAGCAUGUAUUUUUCUCCUUCCAAACUUGAACUCUAACCCCCCAUACCCAUUAAUUUUAUAAACAGGCUUCAAGUGUAUCCUUAAAAUAAAGUUUAGAUAUCUCAA